GGGCCAUUAGCUCAAUUGGUAGAGCAACUGACUCUUAAUCAGUAGGUCGUAGGUUCGAUCCCUACAUGGCCCACCA
RNAcentral lists this transfer RNA (76 nucleotides) under Deltaproteobacteria bacterium. RNAcentral's name for it is "tRNA-Lys". It matches the Rfam family "tRNA". From Rfam's summary of the family: Transfer RNA (tRNA) molecules are approximately 80 nucleotides in length. Their secondary structure includes four short double-helical elements and three loops (D, anti-codon, and T loops). The record is from RNAcentral. Lineage: Bacteria; Pseudomonadati; Myxococcota; Myxococcia. RNAcentral also lists the same sequence under 1 other name.